AUACGGAGGGUGCAAGCGUUACUCGGAAUCACUGGGCGUAAAGCGCGCGCAGGCGGUCUUUUAAGUUGGAUGUGAAAGCCUACGGCUCAACCGUAGAACUGCAUCCAAAACUAUUAGACUAGAGUGUGGGAGAGGAAGAUGGAAUUAGUUGUGUAGGGGUAAAAUCCGUAGAGAUAACUAGGAAUACCAAAAGCGAAGGCAAUCUUCUGGAACACUACUGACGCUGAGGCGCGAAGGCGUGGGGAGCAAACAGGAUUAGAUACCCCAGUAGUCC
Molecule: ribosomal RNA, 274 nt
Filed under: uncultured bacterium
Lineage: Bacteria
Description: partial 16S ribosomal RNA
Rfam family: Bacterial small subunit ribosomal RNA
Source: RNAcentral